Molecule: long non-coding RNA, 181 nt
Organism: Homo sapiens (human)
Lineage: Eukaryota; Metazoa; Chordata; Mammalia; Primates; Hominidae
Exons: 2
Source: RefSeq, a predicted model, not a curated record
UGGAGUUAGCAUUUUCACCACUUCUUUUGUCCGUCAAUUUCAAUGAUCUUCAGUUUGCAGCAGAUGCUGAAGUCAGCACAGAGUGAUAAAGCUAAAAUGAGACUCCCAGGGUAUGGCCCUCGUGCAAUAUGGCUGAUGUCCUUAUUAGAAGAGGAAGAGACACCAGGAAUGCAUGUGCACA